RNAcentral lists this ribosomal RNA (486 nucleotides) under uncultured bacterium. RNAcentral's name for it is "partial 16S ribosomal RNA". It matches the Rfam family "Bacterial small subunit ribosomal RNA", at positions 28 to 507 of the family's 1533-position model. The record is from RNAcentral.
GACGAACGCUGGCGGCGUGCUUAACACAUGCAAGUCGAACGCUGAAGGCCUGGCUUUUGUUGGGUUGGAUGAGUGGCGAACGGGUGAGUAACACGUGAGUAACCUGCCCUCUUCUUUGGGAUAACGCCCGGAAACGGGUGCUAAUACUGGAUAUUCACUGAUCUUCGCAUGGGGGUUGGUGGAAAGGUUUGUUCUGGUGGGGGAUGGGCUCGCGGCCUAUCAGCUUGUUGGUGGGGUGAUGGCCUACCAAGGCUUUGACGGGUAGCCGGCCUGAGAGGGUGACCGGUGACAUUGGGACUGAGAUACGGCCCAGACACCUACGGGAGGCAGCAGUGGGGAAUAGUGCACAAUGGGCGAAAGCCUGAUGCAGCGACGCCGCGUGAGGGAUGGAGGCCUUCGGGUUGUAAACCUCUUUCGCUCAUGGUCAAGCCGCAACUGUGGGUUGUGGUGAGGGUAGUGGGUAAAGAAGCGCCGGCUAACUACGUG